This 283-nucleotide small RNA is filed under the name Arabidopsis thaliana (thale cress). Its description in RNAcentral is "ATSL027200". The record is from RNAcentral. Lineage: Eukaryota; Viridiplantae; Streptophyta; Magnoliopsida; Brassicales; Brassicaceae.
AAGUUUAUUAAAAAUUAACAAAUUUUUAAGAUUCUUUUCGGUUAUCCGAUAUCUACAUAAAAAAUAUCCGUUUUUAUUUUUUGGGUAUUUUUAGGGCUUCAAACUCUUUACCCAAACCGACCUAAACCCGGAUGUAUUGGAACCGAAGAUGUUUUUUUUUACUGUAUUAAGUAGUAAAUCCAUUACCUAUUUAAUCUGAACCGGAACGGGUUACCAAUAUGCCCAACCCUAAUUAAGAUUUCGCGAAUCCGAAUCUGCUGCCGAACUUAAAUUCCCUUUUGUU